GGUUAAUGAGGAGAUGCGCUUACAAAACCGGCGAAACAUAUUGUACCGGUCCAACGGACGAACGGAAAGACGGACUUCUUUAUCACUAUAACCCCCGUUUGACAAAGUGGCGUACAAUUGAGUGUCAAAGAGACAGCUCUACAUCUUAAUCAAAGUGAAGGAACUGUGAUCAAUUAUAGGCUACAGUACGGCCUCGAAUGUGUGUAAAUACAUGCAUUUUUAUAUAACAACUAAAUCUGUGUGUUUGUACAAUUUUAGGUAUGACGGAGGACAUUUCUGAAACUUAUAUACUAGUAUACAUCAAACCUCCCUCUUAUUUUAGCAACAUUUAAACAUCCUUAUACUUAAUGUAGUAAGUCGAGUACACC
RNAcentral lists this long non-coding RNA (368 nucleotides) under Mytilus galloprovincialis (Mediterranean mussel). Lineage: Eukaryota; Metazoa; Mollusca; Bivalvia; Mytilida; Mytilidae. The record is from RNAcentral.